GUUUAUCAAAAACAUUGGUAAAUGAACCAAAUACUUAGUACAUCCUGCCCAGUGAAACUUCAACGGCCGCGGUAUCCUAACCGUGCAAAGGUAGCAUAAUCAUUUGUCUAUUAAUUAUAGUCUAGAAUGAAUGGGCUAACGAAACUUUUACUGUCUCUAAUAACUCCCUAAAAAUUAAUAUAUAGAUGAAGAAGUCUAUAUCCACAUAUAGGACAAGAAGACCCUAUAGAGCUUUAUCUUUUCACUUUCUCAAAAAGCACUAAAGAUUCGGUUGGGGCGACCUGAAUAUAAAUAUCAAUUCAUUCUACCUGAUCUACAAAUCUUCUAUAUGAUCCAAGCAGUGACCACCGGACCAAGCUACCUUAGGGAUAACAGGCUAAUUUUCUUUAUGAGUUCACAUCGACAAGAAAGAUUGGCACCUCGAUGUUGGCUUAAAGUUUCCUAGUAGUGCAAAAGCUACAAAGGUGGGUUUGUUCAACCCAUAAAACUCUACGUGAUCUGAGUUCA
This 507-nucleotide ribosomal RNA is filed under the name Pectinodrilus molestus. Its description in RNAcentral is "partial 16S ribosomal RNA". It matches the Rfam family "Bacterial large subunit ribosomal RNA", at positions 1802 to 2613 of the family's 2925-position model. Lineage: Eukaryota; Metazoa; Annelida; Clitellata; Tubificida; Naididae. The record is from RNAcentral.